CACCUGUUUAGGAGAGGUGCUGGCUAGGGGAGGAGAACACCUGUUUAGGAGAGUAGAACACCUGUUUAGGAGAGGUGCUGGCUAGCAGAGUAGAACACCUGUUUAGGAGAGGUGCUGGCUAGGGGAGGAGAACACCUGUUUAGGAGAGGUGCUGGCUAGGGGAGUAGAACACCUGUUUAGGAGAGGUGCUGGCUAGGGGAGUAGAACACCUGUUUAGGAGAGGUGCUGGCUAGGGGAGGUGCUGGCUAGGGGAGUAGAACACCUGGAAAAGGGUGAUGAAGACAACUCCUCUGUGUAAAUGGUUAUUAAAUGAUCUGAGCAUCGGAGCUCCUAGAGUGUGUCUCUCAUUUCUCUCUUGUAGUAACAACACUGCUGUAGCUCUGUCAGGUUUGAGUGUGGCUCUCAUUUCUCUCUUGUAGUAACAACACUGCUGUAGCUCUCUCAGGUUUUCCGAGGCCCUGAAGAGUUCUGGCCAAUCAGCCGUGUUUAUAGGGAAGCGUGCUGACAACACCCUGGAUCUGUCCAAUCAGCAGUGGCACAGCUCAGACAGAGAGGUCUUGUCUUCCUUUAAAAGAGGACUAGACUCUCACUCGUUCAGCGUUGUCCAGUUGUCUUCCUUCUCUGACCAUCUGAAGGCUAUGAUCUCUACUGACCAUCACUACCACACGGUAUAAAUCUGUCUACCUCUCUGUCUGUCAUAUCUACCACACGGUAUGAAUCUGUCUACCUCUCUGUCUGUCAUAUCUACCACUACCACACAGUAUGAAUCUGUCUUCCCUCUCUGUCUGUCAUAUCUACCACUACCACACAGUAUGAAUCUGUCUGCCUCUCUAUCUGUCAUAUCUAUCACUACCACACAGUAUGAAUCUGUCUGCCUCUCUAUCUGUCAUAUCUACC
This is a long non-coding RNA of Oncorhynchus tshawytscha (Chinook salmon), 897 nucleotides long. The record is from Ensembl. Lineage: Eukaryota; Metazoa; Chordata; Actinopteri; Salmoniformes; Salmonidae.